This is a long non-coding RNA of Athene cunicularia (burrowing owl), 592 nucleotides long. RefSeq lists it as uncharacterized. The record is from RefSeq and is a predicted model, not a curated record. NCBI's taxonomy places the organism in Eukaryota, Metazoa, Chordata, Aves, Strigiformes, Strigidae. The transcript has 3 exons.
CAAGAGCCCUGUUAGUGGGGAGCCCGCGGGGAACCCAGCUCAGUCAAGUCCUUCAUCUCAAAAGCCACCACUGUCGUGAGACUUGUUUUUAGCUCUGGAAGGCUGGAAGUACAAGGUCUGAAAAACACUGCUGUCCAUUCAGUAACCUGAGCCGGCUGCACCCUUUGUGGCACACACUGCUGCUGGAUUACUUUUCCUCUAAGAUGUGUACGUUCAAAUCUCUGGAUGUUGCUGAGUUACAAACCCCCAGAUUCUGGGUGCCACGAGGGUAAGAGAGGAGGUGAUCUGCCAUGGUGGGAGAUGUCCAGGUAGAAGUUCCCCAGCCUGUAGACAGCGGUAAACGCGAUGAGGCCUACAAUACCAAUGUUGCCGACAUAAAUAUUGACUGCGAAGCUCCUUGAAGUGCUCCUGAUUUAUAGACUUCAAAGCCGAAGAAGACAAGCUACACUGGACUGAAGCUCAACAAAUUGGGCCCAAAUCUGAUCUUGCAGGAACUCUAUUCAACGUAAUUCAUCUGACCUAAAUAGAGCUACUCCUUAAAGUGACAGAACGAGGCCACAAUUUGUAUAAGUGAGAGACCAGAGAAAUCAGA